Molecule: ribosomal RNA, 468 nt
Filed under: uncultured bacterium
Lineage: Bacteria
Description: partial 16S ribosomal RNA
Rfam family: Bacterial small subunit ribosomal RNA
Source: RNAcentral
GAUGAACGCUGGCGGCGUGCUUAACACAUGCAAGUCGAACGGUGAAGGCGGAGCUUGCUCUGCUGGAUCAGUGGCGAACGGGUGAGUAACACGUGAGCAAUCUGCCCCUGACUCUGGGAUAAGCGCUGGAAACGGCGUCUAAUACUGGAUACGAGCUGCGAAGGCAUCUUCAGCAGCUGGAAAGAAUUUCGGUCAGGGAUGAGCUCGCGGCCUAUCAGCUUGUUGGUGAGGUAAUGGCUCAUCAAGGCGUCGACGGGUAGCCGGCCUGAGAGGGUGACCGGCCACACUGGGACUGAGACACGGCCCAGACUCCUACGGGAGGCAGCAGUGGGGAAUAUUGCACAAUGGGCGAAAGCCUGAUGCAGCAACGCCGCGUGAGGGACGACGGCCUUCGGGUUGUAAACCUCUUUUAGCAGGGAAGAAGCGAAAGUGACGGUACCUGCAGAAAAAGCGCCGGCUAACUACGUG